RNAcentral lists this non-coding RNA (52 nucleotides) under unclassified sequences. The record is from RNAcentral.
CCGGUAAUGCGGCAAGCCAGUUGCAAGCCUGGCGGCGGACGCAGAGCAACGG